CCCCUAGAUGUUCUGGGCCGCACGCGCGCUACACUGACGAAUGCAACGAGCUUAUAACCUUGGCCGAAAGGUCUGGGUAAUCUCCAAAUUUCGUCGUGAUGGGGAUAGAUUAUUGCAAUUAUUAAUCUUCAACGAGGAAUGCCUAGUAAGCGCAAGUCAUCAGCUUGCGUUGAUUACGUCCCUGCCCUUUGUACACACCGCCCGUCGCACCUACCGAUUGAAUGGUCCGGUGAAAUCUCGGGACGGCGGCUUGGUCGCUUGCGUCCGACUGCUGAAACUUGAUUAAACCAUAUCAUUUAGAGGAAGGUGAAGUCGUAACA
Molecule: ribosomal RNA, 320 nt
Filed under: uncultured eukaryote
Lineage: Eukaryota
Description: partial 18S ribosomal RNA
Rfam family: Eukaryotic small subunit ribosomal RNA
Source: RNAcentral